AUGAAUGUAGGAAAAAAAGUCACAGGAAAAAAAGUCACGGAAAAAAAGUCACGGAAAAAAAGUCACAGGAAAAAAGGUCACAGGAAAAAAAGUCACAGGAAAAAAAGUCACAAUAUAUAUUUUUGUAUGAAAUAGUCAUAUGGUCUGCACAUACAUGUAUAAACAGGAGAAACAUUCCCAAUUUGUAUUUUUUAUGGAAAUGGUCAUAAGGCCGCAUAUAUAUAUAUGAAUAUAUUGGGAAACAUUCCCAAUAGAUAUUUUAUUUGGAAAUAGACAUUUUUUAAUUCAUUUUAUACGACU
Molecule: long non-coding RNA, 300 nt
Filed under: Mytilus galloprovincialis (Mediterranean mussel)
Lineage: Eukaryota; Metazoa; Mollusca; Bivalvia; Mytilida; Mytilidae
Source: RNAcentral